CGUGUAACAACUAAAAAGUGUCCGUGUAUUAUCUAAAAAGUGUCCGUGUAACACCCGUUAAUGUAUUGUUUUUCUAUAGCUCUGCUGGGGGUAAAGUCGUACAAAUUUAUAUGCUACGUCAUGAUUGAUAAUACCAUAACAUAACAUAGGUCAAGGUCACUGUAAUGAUAAAUCAAACUCACCCGUACAGCAAAUACACAAAAGCUCUCAAAACAAUCAAAUCAUAUAAUCAUCUCUCAAACGUAAAUCUCACACUCACUUGGACAUUGGGGAAAC
This 276-nucleotide long non-coding RNA is filed under the name Mytilus galloprovincialis (Mediterranean mussel). Lineage: Eukaryota; Metazoa; Mollusca; Bivalvia; Mytilida; Mytilidae. The record is from RNAcentral.